This is a long non-coding RNA of Erigeron canadensis, 741 nucleotides long. RefSeq lists it as uncharacterized. The transcript has 2 exons. The record is from RefSeq and is a predicted model, not a curated record. Lineage: Eukaryota; Viridiplantae; Streptophyta; Magnoliopsida; Asterales; Asteraceae.
UAAGUUAAUGUUUAAAAAAAUUAAUUAUUUUUUAACAUAAAAAGCCCAAUUAGUCUUAGUAUUGCACGUGGGUAGAGACAAUAGAGAGUUAGAGACACCACUAUAUUGUUUCAUUUUGUUUGUUGACUUUUGAGUCUUGUGCUGUUUCUUAUUUUUGGGCCGUGAACUAUUACAUCACCCAACAUUUUCGUUUUACAGUAUUUUAUUUCGGACGGAUCACAAAAGGCCCACUUAAUCCUUGUUUUUGUUUUGGUCUUAUGACGGCUGGAACCUGGAACCUUCACGGCUUCGCGUAGCAAGAAAAUGAAACAAGUAUACAAGAGCAUUUCCAAUGAUAGAAAAUUAUACUACGUAUGACACUUUCAAACCCCAACCAAAUUUCAUAAAAUUGACGCUUCUUUAUCAUAAUAGUUGAUCAAGUGAAAUCAGCAAUCUUCGGCGAUAUUGAAAAGAACAAGAAGUAUAUAUCAAGAUGAUGUUCUACCAAUUGUUAAAUAAAAUUUAAAGGCAAAAAUUGCAAAGGGGCGUGCAAUUGAGGAACUUCGAAAGGGGGUAAGGAAACUUCGGCACUUGAAGAAAUUUAUAUUAGCUAUCAUCAAGACAAGUGGACAUGGACGUUUGUAUAUAGUAAACAAAACGAGAUACGUUACUCGGGCGUUGCCUCGGGAGAUAUUAUAUUUAUUUUGUUUCGUACUAUGUAAAAAUUAUUACAUGUUUUUAGAAAUAUUAUAUAGCUCAAAA